Molecule: long non-coding RNA, 353 nt
Organism: Engraulis encrasicolus (European anchovy)
Lineage: Eukaryota; Metazoa; Chordata; Actinopteri; Clupeiformes; Engraulidae
Exons: 4
Source: RefSeq, a predicted model, not a curated record
AGCCAUCUACCGCGGUCAACAACACUUCCUGAUUGAACAGAAUCACGCGCUGUCUGUGUGGUUUCACUGUUACAAGUUUCUUGGCGAUAUGGGGGGAAAGUUCCUCACAUACCAACGGAAAAUGGGCUUCACAUACAUGCUGCUGUCUCAUAAUAUGGCGAAGACGAGUCACCUGAAGGCCUAACUCGCCAUAGAAGACUGAAAGAAUUGUCCUGCAGGAUGCUGUGUCCUGCAAUCCUGUGUGCUGUGCUACAGACGCGUGUGGAGGUCAACCCAAAAUGGGCACAGUCUCACCACAGAAGAGUGAAAGAGGAUCCUGGCAGGGAGACGGUAGUGUCCUGCAGGAUGGUGAU